GAUGAACGCUGGCGGCGUGCCUAAUUCCCCCCCCCCCCCCCCCCCCCCCCCCAGCUUGCUCGUCUGACGUUAGCGGCGGACGGGUGAGUAACACGUGGAUAACCUACCUAUAAGACUGGGAUAACUUCGGGAAACCGGAGCUAAUACCGGAUAAUAUAUUGAACCGCAUGGUUCAAUAGUGAAAGACGGUUUUGCUGUCACUUAUAGAUGGAUCCGCGCCGCAUUAGCUAGUUGGUAAGGUAACGGCUUACCAAGGCGACGAUGCGUAGCCGACCUGAGAGGGUGAUCGGCCACACUGGAACUGAGACACGGUCCAGACUCCUACGGGAGGCAGCAGUAGGGAAUCUUCCGCAAUGGGCGAAAGCCUGACGGAGCAACGCCGCGUGAGUGAUGAAGGUCUUCGGAUCGUAAAACUCUGUUAUUAGGGAAGAACAAAUGUGUAAGUAACUAUGCACGUCUUGACGGUACCUAAUCAGAAAGCCACGGCUAACUACGUG
RNAcentral lists this ribosomal RNA (497 nucleotides) under uncultured bacterium. Its description in RNAcentral is "partial 16S ribosomal RNA". It matches the Rfam family "Bacterial small subunit ribosomal RNA", at positions 28 to 507 of the family's 1533-position model. The record is from RNAcentral.